UAUUUUGAAAUAAUUACAGAUUCCCAGGAAGUUGCAAAGAUGGCAAGUCCCAUGGGCCCUUCACCCAGUCUCUGGAUGGUUGUAUCUUACAUCACUAUAGUGCAAUGUCAAAACCAGAAACUGACACUGGGGCAAUGUCUAUGAAUACUGAAUUCUUGUAAUCACUGCAGUAAAGAUACAGAACCACUCUAUCACCACAAAGAUCUCCCCUGUGCCAUUCUCUCAUAGUUACAUCUCACCUUCCGCCACCAUCCUUAAUCCCCGGCGACCACUAAUUUGUUCUCCAUGUCUGUACAUUUUUCAUUUCCAGAGUGUUCUAUAAAUGGAAUGUUCUAUACACGGAUUGGGUUUCUUCACUCUGCAUACUGUCCUUGAGAUCCACCCACAUUGUGUGUAGCGACAUUUCAUUCAUUUCCACGGCUGAGCAGUAUUCAUGGUGUGGACACACCAAGUUCGUUUAACCAUUUGCCCGUUGAAGACACGUUGGCCGCUUCUGGUUUGCGGCUAUUGCACAUAAAGCUGUCCCGAGCAGUCAUGCCCAGGCUUUGUGUUUUCAUUUCUCAGAGCUAAGCGCCCAGGAGUGCAAGUGCCAGGUGAUAUGCUGGGUGUACGUUUAGACUUUCAAGAGGUCGCCAGAUUUCUCUAGAGCGGAGGCGCCACUCCACAUUCCCAUUGGCACCGGGCCCUACCAUCUGCUGGGCGCUUGUCUGGGAGCUGCAGAUAAGACAGAUAAGGUAGGGACAUCUCUCAUGGGGUACUCACAGGCCAGUGUUGGUGUGGAGUAGAGAAAAAAAAAAAAAACAACGGAUCACUUCAGCCACAGCACAGCCAAUGGUGUAAAAAGGCAUGGAUGUGGUGUGCAGUAACACAGGGGCGUGGAACACCGGCCAAGGAAUGUGGGAGAGUCGGAAGGACAAGUCUCCUCCUGAGUGGCAGACAAUGGACCCCGGGCAUUCCGAGCAGAAGCAAGAGAGCUCAUGCAGAUGUGGUUGAGUAAUUCAGAGCUCAGGGCGGCCGAGCUAGGAGGCCAGAGGGCACUGUGGGAUGCUUUGGGGAAUUCCUUGGAGUUGGGUUGGCAUCUCGCAAGGUACUCCCUGGUCAUGUAACCAUGCACUAGAUACUAACUUACCUCAGGCCCAAUUUUCUUACAGGCAAAAGGAGUUUCGUAAGUGCCUACCUCCCAGACCCCAGCAGGAUUAGAAAUAAUACACAUAACACAUCCAGAACAGUGCCAGGGAGAUAGAAUUAGACGCUUCAUAAACACUAGCCAUGGAAAAUUCUUUUGGAAAAACAAAGGAAGUUUGAAGAUUGGCUUGCAGGAGGGAACUCCACCAAAGUCCUGCCCCUUCCCGAGGGUCUCUCCCUGGGGCCCAUCCCUCCUUGGUUCGUCCUGCCUGAGGGAAGGGGCGAACCUCCUCCCAUCUACCUCAGGCCCAUCUCCCUGGACCUGGGACCGUACCCUUGCAUCUCCCUGGUACCAGGACGAUCAACACGGAUUCAGACAUGCUUUUGGUUCCUUUCCAGCAGUGCUUACACCCCCCUGGGCCACCAGGCGAUCACCAGGCCUUUCUCUCUGAGCCCCCUUUCCUAGGAGAGUUGUUUCUUAUCACUGCCUUCACUUCCUCUCCUCCCGCCCCUUCACUCAGUGUGGUCUGGCUCCCUGCCCCCACCCCAGGGACUUCCCUGGUCAAGAUCAUCGUGGCCUCUGUGACACCAACAUGAUUCACUCUCUCUCACCCGAUUUCCCUGCAGCGUUCGAGAAGGUUGACCACUUCCUCCUUCUGGAGACAUUCUUCAGAGGCUUUCAGAGGUGGUGCCCAUGCAGGACUUUUCCCGGGGUCCUUGGGGGAGCCUCUUCUGAACUCCUCGGCCUCUCUCCUGAACCCCAGACCCCUGGAUCCAACUGUCUAUUGAAUAUCUAUCUACACCUCGAACUCAACGUGAGUGAAGUCAAGUCCCCCCCGAACCCUCCCCAGACCAGCUCCCCCUCCCCAGAUGCCAUCUUCCAGAGAACAGCACCACCAUCUUCCAACAGUCAAGAACAGGAUGGGAAAACAAUGUUGGAGAGGAGUACCUGAUGCUGCCAGUUCCUGAGGCUUUUGAGGGUUUUACUGUGGCUAUCAUUGACCUCGAUGACAUAGCAAAGAUGAGGAGACAGGACCGGAAGUGUGAGCACGAUUUGUCCACAGUCACCCAGUGCGUGAACUGCAGACUCACCCCUCCUGGGAGCCUCUCUUCAGGACUCUCUUCCUCCACCCCUCCACCGUGCUGGGUGGCUGACAACCCGGCAGGGUGGCUGAAGGUUUACUCUUAAGGAACCAGAGCCCGUGUCAAAUUUUGUGUGGCACUUAUCCCACAAGGGGGUCCACCCUACUUUGCCUAUCAGACAGUAUAAUGCUCAAGAUUUAGCUUUUUCUUUGUCCCCCGGAGUCCCAUUUGAGGUUAACAAUGACCACGCUUAAUUGAACCACAGCGGGAUAUUUACACUGCAGAGAGCAGGAGACCCUAUACCAAUGUCCCUGUUUGUGUGUUUUUUUUUUUUUAAACUUGUUUUCCUGUGCCACUGCGCAUGGCCACACCACGGGCCUCUACGUCUUUCUCAUCUGCCACGAUUCACCAGGCUUUCACAUUAAUCGAGACAUAAGCUGAGUGUCCGGUGUGUGCCAGGCACACAACUGGGCCUUUCGCAUGGAUCAUGUCAGCUAAACUUUGCGACAACGCCGCAACGGAGGUUAUGACUCUCCUCAUCUUACAACGAGGAAGUUGGCUUGAUAGGGUGACCAACCCCACCACUGUGCCUGGGACUAAAGGGUCUCCCAGGACAUGGAAACUGGCAUUUCAAAUCUGGCCAGUCUUGGACAAACAGGGACAGUUUGGUCACCAUGGGCUUAGAGAAGUUAGCUACCUUGCCCGAAGUCCCACAGCUAGAGAGUGGCUGCGUAAAGAUUUAAAAUCAAGUUUCCCUGAAACCAAAUGCAUCUUGGUAGAAAUGAACGCAAAAUAAGAAUCCAUAGACUCUGGCCAGUUCUCUCCCCUCUGCUUCAGACUCUUGGAAGACUUGCUUUGCUUAUUUCCUCAUUUUCAGUCCGUGUCAGAAAACCAAGUUCCCACAUAUAUGAAACAAGGAGAGGAGUAUCUACUUCCUAGGGUUGUUCUGGGCGUGGAGUGUUUACAAAGAACAAGAACAGUACCCAGUGUGGCAGGAGUUCAAGAAAACGGCAUUCCUUUCCUUUUACCUUGAUUUCACUGCCUGGUGAGCUACGCUGAGUUUUAGGGAUGAGAAAUGAGUGGCGCAGGGCUCCGAUCAUAGUAAGAAACUCAGCCGACCACAGUGGUGAGGGGCCCACAAGGGAGGUCCCCCAAGCAAUGAAGGAAGGAACCAAGGAAGAAGGGACAGUGGAAGGCAGACAGGGAGGCUCACUCCCAGCCUUCAAAAGGCUAUCAUGGGAAGGAAGAUACUCAAGCCUCAAGGCCUGUCCAGCACCAGAGGCAAAGUUACUGGGAGGCAAUUCUGGCUGGCUGUCAGAACUUGGCAAUGAGCAGAUCAAUGGAAGAAGCUUUCUCAGAGGGUGAUGAGAGAUUGGGUGACCAUCUGCCAGGGGAUUCUGCAAAGAGCAUCCCCACAGUGCAUGGGAUGCUGGGCUAGAUGAGCACUCAGCUGUCUCCACCCCUGGGACCCUCCAGCAGACGCUGGCUCUCUUCCCUACAACUGUAAAUAUUUGUGCAUUCCCAAGUUAUAAAGUGGAGCUCUUGGCUUACAAAGGUCAGGACGAAAGGCUUGUUUGGGGAACAGUUUGCUUAGUGUUUCUUUAGGCUGUGUUUCCAAGACUUCUUGUCAUCUGUGUUUAGAGUGGACACAAGCUGCAGGAUUUUUUUUUUUCCCGGUAGGGGGAGAAUUGUUCAAUAGGAAGGGAUGCAAAUGGAGAUCAUUCAAGAAUGCGGAAGCCAACCGGAAAGUCAAGAACACUUCUCUGUGGCUGUGGCAGUUUGUUAGAUCAGCAGACAGGCUCCCACCCUGCCCCUCCUGGUGUAGGUUCAGCCUUGGGGUCUUUUAUCCCAGUGCAGAGGGCUUCCUGGUAGGAGUGGGAGGGAUUACCCCACUCAGGGCAGUGAGACAACACCCCUGGGGUUUGGUCCAUCACCUGUUUUAUGGAGAUGGGAAGAUGGAGGAGGGCAGGGAGGGUUAUGGGGUAAGUCUGGAUUUGAUGCUUCUAGCUGGGUGCCACUGAGUUUCAGCUAUUUCCCCAGGAUCUGGGACAGGGUUGGGGGGGGGCGAUGAUAAGAUCACUCGGUGCUUGAACUUUGGGAAGGAGUCUUAGUUCCGGUGAGGAUCCCAGCAUCCUUUUGAUCAUUGUCUCUUUCCCUCACACUCGGGCUCCUCUACCAUGUUGUCAUCCUCCUAAAAACACAGAUCUGAGCUGGUCACUUUUCCAUACUUCUCAAAGGAGCCCCUCCCCACUGUCCACAAACAUGCCCUCCUUCCUCACAACCAUGCCCUUUCCCUUGGCCUAGAAUCUUCUACCCUUCUCAUGGUGCUUUAGCUUCCAUCUGCAAAUAGGGCUAAAAAUAUCUGUCUCAUAAGCUUGUUGUGGGGAUUCAAUGAGUUAAGAGAGGCAGAGCCUUUAGAAUAGCACCUGGCAUUUCGGAAUAGAUGUUUCUGUCCUUACUUUAUUAUGAUGGCCAACUCCUACUCACCCUGCAAGACCCUGGGUCACCUGCUCUGUGAAGCCUUCCUUGUCCUACCCAGACAAAGCUUUGCUUUUCGUUGGCUUUCAGUGUUUGUUUUUUGCUGUUUAUUUUGGGGUUCCAUGACACUUACAUAUUUACUUCUCAGGAUAUUUUUGUUGUAAUUAUUGGCCCAUGUACUGGUCUCUUCCACAAGAUGGGGGGCUCUUUGGAAUUGGCGGGAGCUUGUUGUAUCCAACUCUAUACUUACCGACUAGUACAGUCUCUGGCACCUGGCAAGGGCCUCAAAAAAUUGUUGUUGCCCAAAUGAAUGGAAGGAUGAAGAAAUUAGAAAAACUGUCUGGUGGUCCUGAGAACACCACCCCCCGGGGGUGCUUAUUAAGAUGAUAUUGUUUCAACCUCAAGAGACCCUCCUCCACUCUGCAUCCCCAUGCCCUUCUCCCCUCUCCUCCCCACGCUGUUGGACAGACAUCUCUUUUUCCCACUUCCCUCAAACGUUCUGGAUUGGAAAAUAGCAAUCGUUUAGGAAAAUGGGUAAUUACCAAGGGCUCAAUCACAGAAAACAUAGAACUCAUGGAGUCCUAGUGAAAUGUCAAGGAUUUGAUUAGAGCAAGCCCAGUCCCCGGUGACCUGAAGAAAAUAUGAUCUGUUUGUCCUAGAGGGGGAAGAAGGAUCACUCUUUAUUUACAAACCAGCCUGGCUAAUCCCUUCUGACAAUAUGGGAAGUCAUUCUGCUCUGCUGAAGCAUUAUUUCAGGGCUCCCUUAAGGAAGAACUAUCUUCUACUCAAUUAAAGCAAAGCCUGAACUUGCUCUGACCCCGUCAUUGCUUGGCCAGGAAAGCAGGCUCGUCUCCUUCCAGUGGGGUGGCUGCCCGGGCUUUGGACCGGCCUCUUUUUCAUCAGGAUGUCUCGAGCAUUUAUUGGGGUGAGAAACAGGGGAGUGGAAACCAUCCCUCUCCUGCUCCCUUCAGCCUGGCCCAGGCUUGGGUGCAAGGAGAGGAAGGGGGCGCUGCAAAAUGAAAUGAGUGGUGCAUCCCAGCACAGCGGCCCCUCGGGGCCACCCCUGCCCGCCCAGUUCCGUCUGGGGGCCCAGCAGUCAGGAUCGGUGAACAGCCCCCCAGUGGCCCCACGAGGCCCCCAAAAGGCUUUUAAGCCCCCACCUGUCUCACAGGAGAACUCAGCUUCCCCUGUCCUGUUCUAUGUAGGUCAGCGCCUCCAACUUAGAACCUGCCUGCCAAGUCCUGCCUCUGUCUGCAGGAACGAGCCCUAUCGUUAUUUAAUGGAGACCAAACCAAGAUGCAUGAUCUCACUGGAAAAGCACACACUCGGAGAACCUCACCUCCCCCUCUCCCAAGCUCCACCAACUCCUGGGGAAUCCGGAGGGAGAGGGCUUGGCCAGGCUGACUGCUAUAGGAAGGGGUACAUUAGCUGAAAUCUUCUGCAGAGGAAAGUGUAAUUUUCUUUCUGCUCUUCUCAAUUACAAAAUAAUAAGAUUGCUAAAAAUCCAAUAGUAUGAAUGUCAAUAUUGGCAGGGACAGCCACAGGAAAUUUAAUUGCACAAUGCGUACCAGUUAAAGAUGGUAUGAGCUCUUCUCGGCUUUUCUUAAUUCUAAUUAUGAUGAAAUUUACUGAUCUUACAGACUCACAAACAGAGGCUUGUCACCAGGCCAGGAAGGGGUCCGAACAAUGCUGGCUUCCUUUGCUGAGUCCCUGGCCUUUCCUCCUCCCUAAACAUCAUCUCUGAUUGGGGCUUUUAGCUGGUUGUGAACAUCAGCUCUUCAGUUUCUUUGCCAUGUCAGAGGACCAGAUGUUUUUUAUUUGAGAGCAAAUUGACACAUUAAAUUACACUGUGCAAACAUUAAAGCCAGCCGCGGGUAAACAGGCCGAGAUUCAUUGAAUUUUACGGGUCACAAUAAUGUUUAUGUAAUUUAACAAAUUCCUGCCCCGCUGCUGAGUCUAUCCAAGGAGUAUUAAUUUAAGAAACAUGGGACCUGCCCAGAAGCUCGCCAUCGCCAUCCACCCCACCUCUGCCUCUCAGAAACUCGCCAGGUUCUGAUGUGGACACGAGAACUCCCCGCACGGAGUGGGGAACCACUGCUAGGUCUCUGUCUUCACGACGUCCCCUAUCUGUCCACAAAUACGUAGGAAAUACUCUUUGGCACUGGACAUCUGUUGGGUUUGCCUGUCCAGGAUCCACGCAUCUCUUCUGUUGAUAACAGCCCUGGGACCUUCUGUCUCAUUCCCGGAUUCCAAGGCCCCUUUGGGGCAGAACCCACUCCAGCGCCCUACAAAUGGGCCCUUGACCCAGGCCUGGCCAAUCAGAUGAUUUCAUCCAGCCCCUGGCUGAUGAUUGGCUCAGCCAUGGGAAACGUCAUCAAACCCAGGCCAAUGAGCAUCGGCCCCCGCCCUGGCGCAGAAACAGGCAGAACCUGGCGCUCUCUUUCCACAGGUCUUGGUAAGUGGCAACGUGGAAAUCGGGAGUUGCUGGGCACCGUUUGCCCCCCGUUGGGAAGAGGCGGCCUGGGAAUUAGGCCCACACAGAAGGAAGUAAAAAUGCAGAAGGGCAAAUUCCCAUGAGAUUUUCUGAGCCCCUGGAUCCAGCUAUGUACAGCUGGGUUUUUUGGUUAUGUGAGCUGAUACAUUGCACUUUCUCGGUUAAGUGAGGUUGAGUUGAAUUUCUGACGCUUGCACAAAAGGGUCUUGCUCAAUGAGCCAAGAAAUGACCCCAUACAACUCUGUGGGACCAGGACCCCACCCCAACUUUUUCCGCAACACUGGCCUCAGCCCCCAUGGGUUCUCCUCUCAUCCCUGAUUCGCUAGUGCUUUCCUUGGAUGCCCUCCGUCCUCCACUCCAGUCAGGCUGGUUUCUUCCUCAGCGUGCCCUGCUUUUCUCUCCUCCCUGCUUUCCCUUAUUCUCCUCUUAUUGCCUGUAGUGUCAUUCCCCCCCCCCCCCCCCCCCCCAUCUAUCUGUCCAUCCUUCCAGGGCAGGCUGAAUUCUCCUCUGGAGGAGGAAGCCCCCUUCCCUGAGCUCCUGGAGGGCCUCACCUCUUGGCCCUUAAGUAUACGAAUUAAAAAACUUUGCGUAACAUUGAACUGCUUCUUGUAUUGUGUGGUUGUUUCUUCUCUCUCAUUUCUUCAUAGCCUAAAAACUUCCUGGUACAGUGCUGGGCACAUGAACUAAAAGAUUAUUGGUAUUUGAAAGUAUAUUAGGGGGUUUAAAGAUCACCCUGGCCCCACAAUUUACAAUUGAAGAAACUGAGGCCCAGAGAGUUGAAUUGACUUGCCCAAGGUCACACAGCUAGUUUAUGGCCAGACCGGAAGUGAAAUUCAUGCUGCAUAUUCUUUCCACAACACCAAGCCCCAUCAAUUUGGUUGAUUUAUUUUCCGGUUAAGUAUAUGUAUAGCUUAAAUUGGGUUGGCAUCUUACCAUCUAUUAAUGGUACUGAGUCAGCAAUGAGAACAAAGAAUAACGGGCUUUACCCAAUCAAAAGAUCUCGUUUCAACUUCCAGCUGGGCUGUGUGAACUUGGACAAGUCCCUUCAUGUCACAAGCUCAUUUUCACCACGGCAAAAAGGAGGGUCUUGACCUCGGUGUGCGGGCAAGAAAAGAUGGGCUAUUGGAAGCCCCUCGCAGUUUCGCAAACCCAGAGCCGAUGGAAGGAAGGCUUCUGAUUGGCCUGACUGGGGCCCUAUGCCUGUGAUGGAGCUAAUCAUCACCGUUCGGUAAGAUGGGGUGUUCUGAUUGGUCAGGCCAGGGUCGUGAGGUCAGGGAAAAGGCAGGAUCAGCCCCAGCCAAGCCUCGUGGAAAGAGCUCGCUCUAGGAAGGAAGGCUUCUACCCUCAGGGAAGGGCAGCUGGGCGGACUAAAACCCUAGGCGUCUUGACAGCGUGGCUUCUGAAGACGCGGCGUCUCUUCUUUUAAGAACACGAGUGGGGUACACACUGGGGUCGCCCUGGCCUUCUCCUGGGAUUUCCUGCACCGUGAGCCCUCGCGUCCCCCUGGCUGAGCAGAAAUGAUCACAACUCCUGCUUGGCACCCAGCCCCCGGCAGCCGCCCAGUGCGGGGGCAGCGAGCCAGCGGCGGUGUAACCAGAGGUCUCUGGGUCUCUAGUUUUCUCGGGAGAACAUAAUAACACGGUGCCGACCGCACAGGCGGUGAACCGGGGCCGGCGGCCGAGGCUUCUGAGGCUCGUGGUUUAGUUCCUGCCAGUGCCAACUCCUUUCUGUCUAACUUUAGAAAUCCAUGGUUGGCUUGCCUUGCAUCAAAGACGUCAAAGUACUCAACUCCAGAGGGUGUGUAUUUUUAAAACAACAACAACAAAAUCAAAACAAAACCAGAGAGAGAGGGAAAAAAAAAAAUCCACUGAUCUCUCAGAGUCAAGGAGGCUCAGCACACAGAUCCCCGAGCUUCACAGAAAUGCCCAGUGACUGUGGUCAGCCCGAAUUAAACAUAUCUACUCUGUUUUUAAAGCUAAAAAAAAUUCUAAAUGACCUUUAAUUAGUAGACCCAGUUCUUUCCUUCCCAUCAAAGCCAAGUGUUUCAUGCAGAGCUACAUUUCCUAAAAAGGCCUGCGGCUGGGAGCUAAGUUCCCUCACCUUGCACGUAGUAAUGCCUUGCCAAGGGCAGCCAGCCCUUCCCACUGGCUUUGAGGCUGUGCCGAGUGGGUGCUGGUGUGAGCACAGAGGGGUAAGAGUGUGCCCAGGACAGGAAACUGCAGCUGCAGCUACCGGAGGGCUGUAGUUGCCCAAAUCUGACCAAUCUGCUCUGCCCUCUUUCUAGCUGGGUGAACUUGAGCAAGUGCCCUCAGCUCUCCGGAGUCAGUUUUCCCAUUGAUAAAAUGGGGCUCCCAUUUCCCGGCCAGCCGGACCCUCUACCACAGGAUGAAAUUGUUGCUAAUCUACUGAAUGCCCUGAUUGCCCGUCCCCUCCCCUCCACUUCUUUUUAUUUAAACACUCCUCUCCCUUUUCUCUGUCUUGGUCCAUCUUCUCCGUCUCCUCUUCGUUGGGGUCCCUCCUCCCUUGUCCCGUGGGCACCUUGCUCGUCUGGUUUCCAAGCAAUGGAGAGCCCAAAGGGGCUGCUGGGACUAGGGAGCAGAGUGAGCUUCCCACAAGGGUGGAAUGAAUUUGGGUCGGCGUCGGCACUCACUUGGGGACUCCGUUUCUGUAUCUUUCCAGGGCAUCUGGCCUCCUCACCCCUCUUGGACACAAGGGCUGUAAGAAAGCAUUAGUCCUUGUAGAUCCAACUGGUGGCACAACCCUCCAGGAAGUUUUCUUCUGCAGUUUACCCAAGUUGGCCAGACAACUUAUCCUCUGAUUCGGGGGGGUCACACAUCAUCCCCAGGGAAUCAUGAUUUUUUUCUCAAGGCCAUAGCAGUGGAGGGAGAAGGAAGAAGCUUAAAAUAACACACACACACACACACACACACACACACACACAAAAGACUAGUGGGGAACACUGAUGGGCUCACACAGACUUCAGGAUUAAUUUAUAGAUGCUUCUUAAGCUGAAGUGACUCGUUGGGGCAGCUGCGGAGAGGCCGGGCCCACGAGCUCCCAGGGCCCCCAGUCAGCUGAGCCUUUCGUUCCUCAGCUCUGGCUCAUGGAGAGAAAAAAAAGCACUGACCUUGACCAUGGGACCCAGUGUGAUCAAGCCCUCGGCCAGUGCACUUGAGGCUCCUGGAAUGUCAGGGUCCUAAUGAUUUUUUUAAAUUCCCUUAGUUGUUUUAUUUUGUUUUGUAUUUCUAUUGAGAAAUUUAUAUACAAUGAAUGUACCUAUCUUUAAUGUGCAAUUCAAUAACUUUUGAUAAAUGUAUUACCAUGUCAUCCAAGAUAUAGAACAUAUCCAUUGCCCCAGAAAGUUCUGUUGUCUCCCUUCUAGUUAUACCCACCCCAGAGGUAUCACUCUUCUGGUUUCUAUCACCAACCUGGAUGUCACCUAUUCUAGAAUGUCAUACAAAAGGAAUCACACUACAUUUAUCAUUUUGUGUAUUGUUUCUGUCACUCAAUAUGUCUGUGAAGUUCCUCUCUCUUGUUGUGCAUCGGUAGUGGAUUCCGAUUUCGACCGAGUCUAGUUCCAGCACAUGAACACAGCACCAUGUUUUUAUCCAGUGCCUCUGCACUGGACUUUUCUGUUUCCAGCUUUUGGCUAGUGUGGAUAAAGCUACAAUGAGCAUUCAUGUAUAAGUCAUUCCUAUUUUUUUUUAAGAUUUUAUUUAUUUAUUUGAGAGAGAGAGAGAGAGAAAGAGUGAGCACAAG
RNA transcript from Callorhinus ursinus (northern fur seal), 10939 nucleotides. RefSeq lists it as uncharacterized. NCBI's taxonomy places the organism in Eukaryota, Metazoa, Chordata, Mammalia, Carnivora, Otariidae. The record is from RefSeq and is a predicted model, not a curated record.